This 698-nucleotide ribosomal RNA is filed under the name uncultured bacterium. Its description in RNAcentral is "bacterial SSU rRNA". It matches the Rfam family "Bacterial small subunit ribosomal RNA", at positions 631 to 1328 of the family's 1533-position model. The record is from RNAcentral.
AACUAUUGGGCUAGAGUGUGGGAGAGGAAGAUGGAAUUAGUUGUGUAGGGGUAAAAUCCGUAGAGAUAACUAGGAAUACCAAAAGCGAAGGCAAUCUUCUGGAACACUACUGACGCUGAGGCGCGAAGGCGUGGGGAGCAAACAGGAUUAGAUACCCUGGUAGUCCACGCAGUAAACGAUGAAUGUUAGUCGUCGGGUAGCUAGUCUAUUCGGUGAUGCAGCUAACGCAUUAAACAUUCCGCCUGGGGAGUACGGUCGCAAGAUUAAAACUCAAAGGAAUAGACGGGGACCCGCACAAGUGGUGGAGCAUGUGGUUUAAUUCGAAGAUACGCGAAGAACCUUACCUAGCCUUGACAUAUAUUAGAACAGACCAGAGAUGGACUGGUGCCUUCGGGAGCUUUUAUACAGGUGCUGCACGGCUGUCGUCAGCUCGUGUCGUGAGAUGUUGGGUUAAGUCCCGCAACGAGCGCAACCCUCGUCCUUAGUUGCCAGCAGGUUAAGCUGGGCACUUUAAGGAGACUGCCUUCGCAAGGAGGAGGAAGGUGAGGACGACGUCAAGUCAUCAUGGCCCUUAUGGCUAGGGCUACACACGUGCUACAAUGGGGCGUACAGAGAGUUGCGAUACCGCGAGGUGGAGCCAAUCUCAUAAAGCGUCUCUCAGUUCGGAUUGAAGUCUGCAACUCGACUUCAUGAAGCUG